Nannospalax galili (Upper Galilee mountains blind mole rat) is the source of this 451-nucleotide long non-coding RNA. RefSeq lists it as uncharacterized. The transcript has 3 exons. The record is from RefSeq and is a predicted model, not a curated record. Lineage: Eukaryota; Metazoa; Chordata; Mammalia; Rodentia; Spalacidae.
CUCAGGGCUUCGGGAUACAAACACUCAGUUAACUCUUCUGUGGCAGUUCAAAGGCAAGAAGUUAAUUGAUAAAAUGCUGGCCAUUAGGAAUGAUGCUGUUUUGAAUAUUUGCAUGGAGUUUUGGUGGGGAUGUAUGUUUUUAUUUCUUCUGAGCAGAUGUCUAGGAGUGGAAUCACUAGGUCAGAUGCAGGUCUUACUAUACUGCAUUUUGAGACAAGCUUGCCUGAAGCUCACUGUGUGGUCUAGCCUUGCUGCAAACUCAUAAUCCUACAGCCUCAGCCUCCCGAGUGCUGUGAUUACACCUGGCCCGUUAGCCUGUCACACCCGGCCAUGUCUACCCUUUUACAAAGUCCCUGUUUUCUCUUCACCCUUGACCCUCCACUAGUAUUAUGGCUGAUGAUUGCUGAUAAUAACACUUGCUGUUUACAGCCAGGGACUUUUUUUUUUUUCA